RNAcentral lists this long non-coding RNA (546 nucleotides) under Triticum aestivum (bread wheat). RNAcentral describes it as "long non-coding RNA (TAES_LNC004243)". Lineage: Eukaryota; Viridiplantae; Streptophyta; Magnoliopsida; Poales; Poaceae. The record is from RNAcentral.
UAUACAAUUCAAGCAUUUUGCUGCAUACCAAAGGCAAACGGAUCUACUUGCAAUGUGAUAUCCUGGUGCGCUUUGACUUUAUCUUGUCGGUUGGCUAAGGCCACUUGAAGGUUGACUAGCCCGUGUUGUCAGGCUCUUGAGUGGGGUACUGUAGGGAUUCAUCAGAAGGUGUACCAUUAUGGGAGAACAGAGUCUUGCAAUUGGUUGUGGACACUUCCAAUGAUCUUACCAACCAAUAGCCAACUGAAAACAGCGUCCUGGAUCUGUAGCAUCAAACUUGUGUCAACUAGAUGCUUGAAACAACACAGAUCCUUGUGGGGGUCUAUCUUGUAGCCUGGAAUUUUCAAAAGUGUUAUGAUUCUUCUCCACUGAAGUCUCGAGAGAUUCACUUUCGAAGGUAAUGAUAGUAGUGGCGCAGACUUUUGAGGGACAAAGUCUAAUCAAGGACUGUCUUUCACACUUGCAUUCUGUGUUGAUCAAUGGUCAUCAGUCCAGUGAGAGAGAGGUUCAUGUGCAUCUUAGUUUUUGCAGUUUUGGACAUAAAUA